UAGGGAAUCUUCCACAAUGGACGCAAGUCUGAUGGAGCAACGCCGCGUGAGUGAAGAAGGGUUUCGGCUCGUAAAACUCUGUUGUUAAAGAAGAACAUAUCUGAGAGUAACUGUUCACGUAUUGACGGUAUUUAACCAGAAAGCCACGGCUAACUACGUG
RNAcentral lists this ribosomal RNA (160 nucleotides) under uncultured Lactobacillus sp. Its description in RNAcentral is "partial 16S ribosomal RNA". It matches the Rfam family "Bacterial small subunit ribosomal RNA", at positions 355 to 507 of the family's 1533-position model. The record is from RNAcentral. Lineage: Bacteria; Bacillati; Bacillota; Bacilli; Lactobacillales; Lactobacillaceae.